AAUCAACGCUGGCGGCGUGCCUCAGACAUGCAAGUCGAACGAUUAAGACUUCCUUCGGGAAGUGAAUAGAGUGGCGCACGGGUGAGUAACACGUAAGUAAUCUACCUUCGAGUGGGGAAUAACGUCCGGAAACGGACGCUAAUACCGCAUAAUGCAGCGGCACCUAAUGGUGACAGUUGUUAAAGAUUUAUUCGCUUGAAGAGGAGCUUGCGGCAGAUUAGCUAGUUGGUAAGGAACGGCUUACCAAGGCAACGAUCUGUAACCGGUCUAAGAGGACGGUCGGUCACACUGACACUGAAUAACGGGUCAGACUCCUACGGGAGGCAGCAGUGGGGAAUCUUGCGCAAUGCGCGAAAGCGUGACGCAGCAACGCCGCGU
This 378-nucleotide ribosomal RNA is filed under the name uncultured bacterium. Its description in RNAcentral is "bacterial SSU rRNA". It matches the Rfam family "Bacterial small subunit ribosomal RNA", at positions 32 to 402 of the family's 1533-position model. The record is from RNAcentral.